CAGCCCUAAACGAUGCGCGUUAGGUGUAUCGGUGACCACGAGUCACCGAGGUGCCGAAGGGAAACCGUGAAACGUGCCGCCUGGGAAGUACGGUCGCAAGGCUGAAACUUAAAGGAAUUGGGCGGGGGGAGCACCACAACGGGUGGAGCCUGCGGUUUAAUUGGACUCAACGCCGGGAAGCUCACCGGAUAAGACAGCGGAAUGAUUGCCGGGCUGAAGACCCUGCAUGACCAGCUGAGAGGUGGUGCAUGGCGU
RNAcentral lists this ribosomal RNA (255 nucleotides) under uncultured archaeon. RNAcentral describes it as "partial 16S ribosomal RNA". It matches the Rfam family "Archaeal small subunit ribosomal RNA", at positions 748 to 1000 of the family's 1478-position model. The record is from RNAcentral.